Molecule: ribosomal RNA, 448 nt
Filed under: uncultured Thiobacillus sp.
Lineage: Bacteria; Pseudomonadati; Pseudomonadota; Betaproteobacteria; Nitrosomonadales; Thiobacillaceae
Description: bacterial SSU rRNA
Rfam family: Bacterial small subunit ribosomal RNA
Source: RNAcentral
GCGGUGGAUGAUGUGGAUUAAUUCGAUGCAACGCGAAGAACCUUACUACCCUUGACAUGUCCGGAACUUGCCAGAGAUGGCUUGGUGCCCGAAAGGGAAUCGGAACACAGGUGCUGCAUGGCUGUCGUCAGCUCGUGUCGUGAGAUGUUGGGUUAAGUCCCGCAACGAGCGCAACCCUUAUCAUUAGUUGCUACGCAAGGGCACUCUAAUGAGACUGCCGGUGACAAACCGGAGGAGGGUGGGGAUGACGUCAAGUCCUCAUGGCCCUUAUGGGUAGGGCUUCACACGUCAUACAAUGGUCGGUACAGAGGGUUGCCAAGCCGCGAGGCGGAGCCAAUCCCACAAAGCCGAUCGUAGUCCGGAUUGUUCUCUGCAACUCGAGAGCAUGAAGUCGGAAUCGCUAGUAAUCGCAGGUCAGCAUACUGCGGUGAAUACGUUCCCGGGUCUU